CCAAGGAGUCUAACAUGUGCGCGAGUCAUUGGGACUGCGAAGCCUAAAGGCGCAAUGAAAGUGAAGGUCGUCUUGACGACCGAGGGAGGAUGGGUCGCGAAAGCGGCCCCGCACUCCCGGGGCGUCUCGUUCUCAUUGCGAGAAGAGGCGCACCCAGAGCGUACACGUUGGGACCCGAAAGAUGGUGAACUAUGCCUGGUCAGGACGAAGUCAGGGGAAACCCUGAUGGAGGUCCGUAGCGAUUCUGACGUGCAAAUCGAUCGUCGGAACUGGGUAUAGGGGCGAAAGACUAAUCGAACCAUCUAGUAGCUGGUUCCCUCCGAAGUUUCCCUCAGGAUAGCUGGCACUCGCGUGUUCUCAGAACUUGCGCGAGUCUCAUCCGGUAAAGCGAAUGAUUAGAGGCCUUGGGGCCGAAACGACCUCAACCUAUUCUCAAACUUUAAAUGGGUGAGAUCUCUGGCUUGCUUGAACGUGAAGCCACGAGAUUUCGGAUCAGAGUGCCAAGUGGGCCACUUUU
This 517-nucleotide ribosomal RNA is filed under the name Syntexis libocedrii. RNAcentral's name for it is "eukaryotic LSU rRNA". It matches the Rfam family "Eukaryotic large subunit ribosomal RNA", at positions 666 to 1138 of the family's 3401-position model. The record is from RNAcentral. Lineage: Eukaryota; Metazoa; Arthropoda; Insecta; Hymenoptera; Anaxyelidae.